UUCUUAGACCUAUGCAAUGAGAUGUUAGGACAACGCUUCAGGGUGGGAACACAGCAGAGUAGCCUAGCUUCUUAUGUGCCUUAGUCAUCUGAGGAGGG
Molecule: signal recognition particle RNA, 98 nt
Filed under: Helicobacter felis
Lineage: Bacteria; Pseudomonadati; Campylobacterota; Epsilonproteobacteria; Campylobacterales; Helicobacteraceae
Also listed under: 1 other name
Description: Bacterial small signal recognition particle RNA
Rfam family: Bacterial small signal recognition particle RNA
About the family: The signal recognition particle (SRP) is a universally conserved ribonucleoprotein involved in the co-translational targeting of proteins to membranes. Archaeal SRP consists of a 7S RNA and homologues of the eukaryotic SRP19 and SRP54 proteins. In most bacteria, the SRP consists of a 4.5S RNA and the Ffh protein (a homologue of the eukaryotic SRP54 protein).
Source: RNAcentral